This 408-nucleotide ribosomal RNA is filed under the name uncultured bacterium. RNAcentral's name for it is "partial 16S ribosomal RNA". It matches the Rfam family "Bacterial small subunit ribosomal RNA", at positions 28 to 526 of the family's 1533-position model. The record is from RNAcentral.
GACGAACGCUGGCGGCGUGCUUAACACAUGCAAGUCGAACGAAGUAGCGAACGGGUGAGUAACGCGUAAUCAAACUGCCCUUCAGAGGGGGACAACAGUUGGAAACCACUGCUAAUACCGCAUACUGAAGGAGGGGAUUGCGUCUGAAUAGCGAGUUGGAGGGGUAACGCCCCACAAAGACGAUGAUCAGUAGCAGGUCUGAGAGGAGGAACGGCUACAUUGGGACUGAGACACUGCCCAGACUCCUACGGGAGGCAGCAGUGGGGAAUCUUCCGCAAUGGACGAAAGUCUGACGGAGCAACGCCGCGUGAUUUAUGACGGCCUUCGGGUUGUAAAGCUCUGUGAAUCGGGACGCGGUACCGGAAUAGAAAGCCACGGCUAACUACGUGCCAGCAGCCGCGGUAAUAC